UAGGAAGAAUAGAAAUACAGAAUAUUUACUCCUAAAGAAUCUUCUAUUUUACCAUCUGUUGCAACUGCACUGUAGGAGGUGUGAAAGAGGAGGAAAAUUGAGUGGAAACCACUGGAUAUGAAGAGCACAUUUGGAAAAUCCUCCCCUGAAGACGACAUGAGGAACAACCAGAAGAUUUAAAUUAAAGAAGACCAAAAAAUCAGAUGUGUGUUGUGGAGACAAUGAAAGCUGUGAGACCAGCUAAGGAAUAAGAAAGUGGUUGCAGAAAAGGUUUUAUGACUCCUCUGAGUGAAGAGAGGAAGAGUGUUGUAAUUUUCUGGACAUGGAGAAUCAUUUGCUAUGGUAAACUGGAUAAAUGCCUGUGCUACCUCAUGGGAGUAGGAUAGAAAAAGAGUAGCUGGAUCUAUUCUACUGAGAUGCCAAGGCCUCCAUCUUCUUUCAAAAUCAAUGGCCUUAGAGGGA
Microcebus murinus (gray mouse lemur) is the source of this 462-nucleotide non-coding RNA. Lineage: Eukaryota; Metazoa; Chordata; Mammalia; Primates; Cheirogaleidae. The record is from RefSeq and is a predicted model, not a curated record.